Molecule: ribosomal RNA, 253 nt
Filed under: uncultured bacterium
Lineage: Bacteria
Description: partial 16S ribosomal RNA
Rfam family: Bacterial small subunit ribosomal RNA
Source: RNAcentral
UACAGAGGGUGCAAGCGUUAAUCGGAAUUACUGGGCGUAAAGCGCACGUAGGCGGUUUUUUAAGUCAGAUGUGAAAGCCCCGGGCUCAACCUGGGAAUUGCAUUUGAAACUGGGAAACUAGAGUGUGUGAGAGGGAGGUAGAAUUCCAAGUGUAGCGGUGAAAUGCGUAGAGAUUUGGAGGAAUACCAGUGGCGAAGGCGGCCCCCUGGCACAACACUGACGCUCAGGUGCGAAAGCGUGGGGAGCAAACAGG